This 524-nucleotide ribosomal RNA is filed under the name uncultured bacterium. RNAcentral's name for it is "bacterial SSU rRNA". It matches the Rfam family "Bacterial small subunit ribosomal RNA", at positions 356 to 896 of the family's 1533-position model. The record is from RNAcentral.
GGGGAAUAUUGGACAAUGGGGGAAACCCUGAUCCAGCGACGCCGCGUGAGUGAAGAAGUAUUUCGGUAUGUAAAGCUCUAUCAGCAGGGAAGAAAAUGACGGUACCUGACUAAGAAGCCCCGGCUAACUACGUGCCAGCAGCCGCGGUAAUACGUAGGGGGCAAGCGUUAUCCGGAUUUACUGGGUGUAAAGGGAGCGCAGACGGCAAUGCAAGUCUGAAGUGAAAGGCGUGGGCUCAACCCAUGAACUGCUUUGGAAACUGUAUAGCUUGAGUGUCGGAGGGGUAAGCGGAAUUCCUAGUGUAGCGGUGAAAUGCGUAGAUAUUAGGAGGAACACCGGAGGCGAAGGCGGCUUACUGGACGACAAUUGACGUUGAGGCUCGAAGGCGUGGGGAGCAAACAGGAUUAGAUACCCUGGUAGUCCACGCAGUAAACGAUGAAUACUUGGUGUCGGGGAGGUAAACUCUUCGGUGCCGCAAGCUAACGCAUUAAGUAUUCCACCUGGGGAGUACGUUCGCAAGAAUG